Molecule: long non-coding RNA, 450 nt
Filed under: Mytilus galloprovincialis (Mediterranean mussel)
Lineage: Eukaryota; Metazoa; Mollusca; Bivalvia; Mytilida; Mytilidae
Source: RNAcentral
GUCGUAAAAAUUUUCUAUGGUCACAUUUUUAUAUGUUAGCCUUUUAAUGAGGUACCCCUCAAUUUACGGUCUUUGGUAGUCACUUUAAAAUCCAAAAAUAAAUAUUUUUGUUAAACUUCCCGCUAUUUUCGUAUAUAUUUUCGAGGCACAUAUCAUCAAGGAUCAUCGGAAUGAUGAAGACAUAUAUAUCAUACCAUCCCCGAGUAAAACUUUCAAACUUAAAGAUGGCUGUUUUUCAGAUGGAAAUUUAACGCGUUUUUCUUUGAAAACGAGAAAACAUAUGAUUCAAAACAGUAUUUGACAUUUGAGAGGACAACAUAUAUUAUUGCGAUACUGCAUGCAAAUUUUGUUGGGCAAAUUUGAAACAAUUUUGUCAAAAACUCAAAAAUAAAAAUAUUAUUUGUACCUUUUUUAAUUACGGAAUUUCCUAUCCGUCAAUCAGCUCCACCA